CCUACGGGAGGCAGCAGUGGGGAAUUUUGGACAAUGGGCGCAAGCCUGAUCCAGCAAUGCCGCGUGCAGGAUGAAGGCCUUCGGGUUGUAAACUGCUUUUGUACGGAACGAAACGGUCUGCCCUAAUACGGUGGGCUAAUGACGGUACCGUAAGAAUAAGCACCGGCUAACUACGUGCCAGCAGCCGCGGUAAUACGUAGGGUGCGAGCGUUAAUCGGAAUUACUGGGCGUAAAGCGUGCGCAGGCGGUUAUAUAAGACAGAUGUGAAAUCCCCGGGCUCAACCUGGGACCUGCAUUUGUGACUGUAUAGCUAGAGUACGGUAGAGGGGGUAUGGAAUUCCGCGUGUAGCAGUGAAAUGCGUAGAUAUGCGGAGGAACACCGAUGGCGAAGGCAAUCCCCUGGACCUGUACUGACGCUCAUGCACGAAAGCGUGGGGAGCAAACAGGAUUAGAUACCCUGGUAGUCCACGCCCUAAACGAUGUCAACUGGUUAGUUGGGUCUUCACUGACUCAGUAACGAAGCUAACGCGUGAAGUUGACCGCCUGGGGAGUACGGCCGNAAGGUUGAAACUNAAAGGAAUUGACGG
Molecule: ribosomal RNA, 587 nt
Filed under: uncultured bacterium
Lineage: Bacteria
Description: bacterial SSU rRNA
Rfam family: Bacterial small subunit ribosomal RNA
Source: RNAcentral